Molecule: ribosomal RNA, 463 nt
Filed under: uncultured bacterium
Lineage: Bacteria
Description: partial 16S ribosomal RNA
Rfam family: Bacterial small subunit ribosomal RNA
Source: RNAcentral
GAUGAACGCUGACAGAAUGCUUAACACAUGCAAGUCUUUGGCGAAGCUGUGCUCGCACAGCCUAGCCAAGGCGGACGGGUGAGUAACGCGUAAGGAACUUGCCCUGCAGUCAGGGAUAACAGACGGAAACGACUGAUAAGACCUGGUAAAGUCAGGCGGACUCAUGUCCAGCCUGAUGAAAAGAGAUGCUGCAGGAGAGCCUUGCGUCCUAUUAGCUUGUUGGUGGGGUAACGGCCCACCAAGGCGAUGAUAGGUAGCCGGCCUGAGAGGGUGGACGGCCACAAGGGGACUGAGAUACGGCCCUUACUCCUACGGGAGGCAGCAGUGGGGAAUAGUGGACAAUGGGGGCAACCCUGAUCCAGCAAUUCUGUGUGCACGAUGAAGGUUUUCGGAGUGUAAAGUGCUUUCAGCAGGGAAGAAAAAAAUGACGGUACCUGCAGAAGAAGCGACGGCUAAAUACGUG